Molecule: long non-coding RNA, 1697 nt
Organism: Entelurus aequoreus (snake pipefish)
Lineage: Eukaryota; Metazoa; Chordata; Actinopteri; Syngnathiformes; Syngnathidae
Exons: 3
Source: RefSeq, a predicted model, not a curated record
GAGAGAGACAAGCCUAGAGGAGAAAAAGUUCUGCAGCGAGUCGAUAGAAGUCCAAACAGGAGGCGGCUCAGGUGCAUGACACACUCCAGAAAGAGAGUGGUGAGGACUGCGGAAAAGAUCAUCUGGACUCCUCUUCCUCCUAUCCAGGAAAUCGCAAAAAGCCGCUGCCUGACCAGGGCUCAGAAAAUCUGCAGAGACUCCUCCCAUCCUCACCAAGGACUCUUUUCACUGCUGGACUCUAGAAAGAGGUUCCGCAGCUUCCGUAGCAGAACCUCCAGGUUCUGUAACAGCUUCUUCCCUCAGGCCAUAAGAUUCUUGAACGCAUCAUAAUAAUCCCCUCAAUUCCCCCCAAAAACGGAUUAACUCGCUGGAAUAUAAAGCCAAUAUAACAUACAUCCAUAAACGUGGAUGCAUAUGCAAAAGUGCAAUAUAUUUAUCUGUACAGUAAUCUAUUUAUAUCUGCAUCUAACUGCUCUUCUAUCCUGCACUACCAUGAGCUAAUGCAACACAUAUUCGUUCUUAUCUGUACUGUAAAGUUCAAAUUUGAAUGACAAUAAAAAGGAAGUCUAGUCUAAAUAUUAUUGUCAGCGAUGGAGCAGGAAGGGGAUUGGAAUAUGUUUCACAUAAUAGCAAAAAAGAUUUACAUUUGUGCAGCACUUGUACAUUCAUUCACAUUCAUAUGCCAGUGUCAGCGGCACAGGAAGCAAGGUUGGUAAAAUGUCUUGCCCAAGGACACAACGGCCUGGAACCCUCAAGUUGCUGGCACGGCCGCUCUACCAUGUGAGCCACGCUAUCCCUCACAUAAACUGCCUUCUCAUUCUUUAACUGACAUUUUACAUGCACUUAUUCAUGCAAAACGGGCCCCCCCACAAACCACGCCAGCAUACACAUAGAGAUAUGUUCAGCCGUGUAACAUAAACGUACACUACCGUUCAAAAGUUUGGGGUCACAUUGAAAUGUCCUUAUUUUUGAAGGAAAAGCACUGUACUUUUCAAUGAAGAUAACUUUAAACUAGUCUUAACUUUAAAGAAAUACACUCUAUACAUUGCUCGUGUGGUAAAUAACUAUUCUAGCUGCAAAUGUCUGGUUUUUUGGUGCAAUAUCUACAUAGGUGUAUAGAGGCCCAUUUCCAGCAACUAUCACUCCAGUGUUCUAAUGGUACAAUGUGUUUGCUCAUUGGCUCAGAAGGCUAAUUGAUGAUUAGAAAACCCUUGUGGAAUCAUGUUCACACAUCUGAAAACAGUUUAGCUCGUUACAGAAGCUACAAAACUGACCUUCCUUUGAGCAAAUUGAGUUUCUGGAGCAUCACAUUUGUGGGGUCAAUUAAACACUCAAAAUGGCCAGAAAAAGAGAACUUUCAUCUGAAACUCGACAGUCUAUUCUUGUUCUUAGAAAUGAAGGCUAUUCCACAAAAUUGUUUGGGUGACCCCAAACUUUUGAACGGUAGUGUACGUCAAUGUAGCAAAAAGUAUCUGAAAUUUAAUCGGUUGUUUCUAAUCCCAUUUCUGGCAUUUCCUAAAAGUAUCUUCAGUUUUUGCAUUAUGUUGUAAACUAGUGAUUUUCAAACUGUGGUACUCGUACCACUGGUGGUACGCAGGCUCCAUGUAGCUGUACUCUAAAGAAGUCUGUAAUAUGUACCGUAUAUUGAGUGUCAUUGUUAAUAUCUGUUUAUUGUGUGUAAUGUUACAGUGGCCAAA